Molecule: ribosomal RNA, 163 nt
Filed under: Bacillus thuringiensis
Lineage: Bacteria; Bacillati; Bacillota; Bacilli; Caryophanales; Bacillaceae
Description: partial 16S ribosomal RNA
Rfam family: Bacterial small subunit ribosomal RNA
Source: RNAcentral
UUUAUUGGAGAGUUUGAUCCUGGCUCAGGAUGAACGCUGGCGGCGUGCCUAAUACAUGCAAGUCGAGCGAAUGGAUUAAGAGCUUGCUCUUAUGAAGUUAGCGGCGGACGGGUGAGUAACACGUGGGUAACCUGCCCAUAAGACUGGGAUAACUCCGUGAAAC